Molecule: ribosomal RNA, 404 nt
Filed under: Actinomycetes bacterium
Lineage: Bacteria; Bacillati; Actinomycetota; Actinomycetes
Description: Actinobacteria bacterium partial 16S ribosomal RNA
Rfam family: Bacterial small subunit ribosomal RNA
Source: RNAcentral
UGGGGAAUAUUGGACAAUGGGCGCAAGCCUGAUCCAGCCAUGCCGCGUGAGUGAUGAAGGCCCUAGGGUUGUAAAGCUCUUUCACCGGUGAAGAUAAUGACGGUAACCGGAGAAGAAGCCCCGGCUAACUUCGUGCCAGCAGCCGCGAUAAUACGAAGGGGGCUAGCGUUGUUCGGAUUUACUGGGCGUAAAGCGCACGUAGGCGGACUAUUAAGUCAGGGGUGAAAUCCCGGGGCUCAACCCCGGAACUGCCUUUGAUACUGGUAGUCUUGAGUUCGAGAGAGGUGAGUGGAAUUCCGAGUGUAGAGGUGAAAUUCGUAGAUAUUCGGAGGAACACCAGUGGCGAAGGCGGCUCACUGGCUCGAUACUGACGCUGAGGUGCGAAAGCGUGGGGAGCAAACAGG